UCAGGUGUAGCUCAGUGAUGGAGCACUUGCCUAGCAUGUACAAGGCCUUGGGUUUGAUUCCCAGCACCACAA
RNAcentral lists this transfer RNA (72 nucleotides) under Fukomys damarensis (Damara mole-rat). It matches the Rfam family "tRNA". From Rfam's summary of the family: Transfer RNA (tRNA) molecules are approximately 80 nucleotides in length. Their secondary structure includes four short double-helical elements and three loops (D, anti-codon, and T loops). Further hydrogen bonds mediate the characteristic L-shaped molecular structure. tRNAs have two regions of fundamental functional importance: the anti-codon, which is responsible for specific mRNA codon recognition, and the 3' end, to which the tRNAs corresponding amino acid is attached (by aminoacyl-tRNA synthetases). tRNAs cope with the degeneracy of the genetic code in two manners: having more than one tRNA (with a specific anti-codon) for a particular amino acid; and 'wobble' base-pairing, i.e. permitting non-standard base-pairing at the 3rd anti-codon position. The record is from Rfam by way of RNAcentral. Lineage: Eukaryota; Metazoa; Chordata; Mammalia; Rodentia; Bathyergidae.